GGAGUGGUGCGGUGGUGCCGGUGGAGAGAGCUCCGAGGGGCGAGAGUGCGAGACCACAAAAGACAAUCACUUAGUGAGGCAAAGUCGCAGAAAUCAAAAGACUCAGAACCCGUGCAGUGCGAUCUGGUCCUUCUGGAUCUAGUUCGAUUUGAGAGGAAGUGAGCAACAAUACCAGAACCAGAUCAAGCAAGUGAGCAAUCGAGCAAUAGAGCAAGUGAGCAACAAUACCAGAACCAGUAUAUCAGAAUAUCAAAUCUAGCAUGAAUGCAAGAUGCAAAAAUACUAGUGUUGAAAGUUGGUGAACCAACGGGCAACUGGGCAAGGGCAAUGGUUGAAUUUCUUAAAGACUUAAACAGUUUAACGACAACCUACAAUUCUGCAAAGUAGGAGAAUCAAGACUGACUCAUACUCUAUCUACUAGUCUACUGUAAAUUUGAAUUUUCAUUUUGAAUGACUGAAUGAUUUGUAAAUUUUAAUUUGUAGACUGUCUCUGUCUGUAGACUAUAGUCGAUUUGCAAAUCUUCA
Molecule: long non-coding RNA, 525 nt
Organism: Tripterygium wilfordii
Lineage: Eukaryota; Viridiplantae; Streptophyta; Magnoliopsida; Celastrales; Celastraceae
Exons: 2
Source: RefSeq, a predicted model, not a curated record